This 468-nucleotide ribosomal RNA is filed under the name uncultured bacterium. Its description in RNAcentral is "partial 16S ribosomal RNA". It matches the Rfam family "Bacterial small subunit ribosomal RNA", at positions 28 to 507 of the family's 1533-position model. The record is from RNAcentral.
GACGAACGCUGGCGGCGUGCUUAACACAUGCAAGUCGAACGGAAAGGCCCUGCUUUUGUUGCGUGCUCGAGUGGCGCACGGGUGAGUAACACGUGAGUAACCUCCCCCUGUCUUUGGGAUAUCUUCAGGAAACUCGGGCUCAUACCGGAUAGGAGCUCUUGCUCCUUGGUGGGGGUUGGAAAGUUUCGGCGGUUGGGGCUGGACUCGCGGCUUAUCCGCUUGUUGGUGGGGUAGGGGCUUACCAAGGGUUUGAAGGGUAGCCGGCCUGGGAGGGGGACCGGCGACAUGGGGACUGAGAUACGGCCCAGACGCCAACGGGAGGCAACGGUGGGGAAUAUGGCGCAAUGGGCGGAAGCCUGAGGCAGCAACGCCGGGUGCGGGAUGCCGGCUUUCGGGUGGUAAACCGCUUUGGCCGGUGACGAAGCGUUAGUGACGGUAACGGGUAAAGAAGCACCGGCUAACUACGUG